Molecule: ribosomal RNA, 425 nt
Filed under: uncultured bacterium
Lineage: Bacteria
Description: bacterial SSU rRNA
Rfam family: Bacterial small subunit ribosomal RNA
Source: RNAcentral
GGGAAUUUUGGACAAUGGGCGAAAGCCUGAUCCAGCAAUGCCGCGUGUGUGAAGAAGGCCUUCGGGUUGUAAAGCACUUUUGUCCGGAAAGAAAUCCUCUGGGUUAAUACCUCGGGGGGAUGACGGUACCGGAAGAAUAAGCACCGGCUAACUACGUGCCAGCAGCCGCGGUAAUACGUAGGGAGCAAGCGUUGUUCGGAUUUACUGGGCGUAAAGGGCGCGCAGGCGGCGCGGUAAGUCACUUGUGAAAUCUCUGAGCUUAACUCAGAACGGCCAAGUGAUACUGCUGUGCUAGAGUGCGGAAGAGGCAACCGGAAUUCUUGGUGUAGCGGUGAAAUGCGUAGAUAUCAAGAGGAACACCUGAGGCGAAGGCGGGUUGCUGGGCCGACACUGACGCUGAUGCGCGAAAGCCAGGGGAGCAAACG